RNAcentral lists this long non-coding RNA (925 nucleotides) under Phaseolus vulgaris (common bean). RNAcentral's name for it is "long non-coding RNA (PVUL_LNC002044)". Lineage: Eukaryota; Viridiplantae; Streptophyta; Magnoliopsida; Fabales; Fabaceae. The record is from RNAcentral.
AAUGGCCUCCGCAACAGUCACUCUUGUGUUAGCAAUACUGUCUCUAAGCUUGCCAUCUCAAAUCUCAGCUGAUACCUACUUGUACUCAUCACCUCCUCCUCCCAAGAAGCCCUAUUAUUAUCACUCUCCUCCACCACCUUCACCUCCUCCACCUAAGCCAUACUACUAUCAUUCACCACCACCACCUUCACCUCCUCCACCCAAGCCAUACUACUAUCACUCACCACCACCACCUUCACCUCCUCCACCUAAACCAUACUACUAUCACUCACCACCACCACCUUCACCUCCUCCACCUAAACCAUACUACUAUCACUCACCACCACCACCUUCACCUCCUCCACCUAAACCAUACUACUAUCACUCACCACCACCACCUUCACCUCCUCCACCUAAGUCAUAUUACUAUCACUCACCACCACCACCACCCAAAAAGAAGCCAUACUACUACCAUUCUCCCCCACCACCUUCACCACCUCCUCCUAAGCCAUACUACUAUCACUCUCCCCCACCGCCUUCACCUCCUCCACCUACGCCAUACUACUAUCAUUCUCCCCCACCACCCUCACCACCUCCACCUAAGCCAUACUACUACCAUUCACCACCACCCCCACCGAAGAAGAAGCCUUACUACUACCACUCUCCACCACCACCUUCACCUCCUCCUCCAAAGAAGCCAUACUACUACCACUCCCCACCUCCUCCCAAGAAGCCCUACAAAUAUUCAUCUCCCCCACCUCCAGUGCACCCUUACCCUCAUCCUCACCCCCAUCCCCAUCCACACCCCCACCCUCACCCUCCCUACGUUUACAAAUCUCCUCCCCCACCCCCUAAGAAGCCAUACAAGUACCCAUCCCCACCACCUCCAGUCCACGUUUACCCUCACCCUCACCCGCAUCCACACCCUCACCCUCAACCUCACCCC